AGCGAACGCUGGCGGCAGGCCUAACACAUGCCAGUCGAACGGAUCCUUCGGGAUUAGUGGCGGACGGGUGAGUAACACGUGGGAACGUGCCCUUUGGUUCGGAACAACUCAGGGAAACUUGAGCUAAUACCGGAUGUGCCCUUCGGGGGAAAGAUUUAUCGCCAUUGGAGCGGCCCGCGUCUGAUUAGCUAGUUGGUGAGGUAACGGCCCACCAAGGCGACGAUCAGUAGCUGGUCUGAGAGGAUGAUCAGCCACACUGGGACUGAGACACGGCCCAGACUCCUACGGGAGGCAGCAGUGGGGAAUCUUGCGCAAUGGGCGAAAGCCUGACGCAGCCAUGCCGCGUGAAUGAUGGAGGUCUUAGGAUUGUAAAAUUCUUUCAGCGGGGACGAUAAUGACGGUACCCGCAGAAGAAGCUCCGGCUAACUUCGUG
RNAcentral lists this ribosomal RNA (433 nucleotides) under uncultured bacterium. Its description in RNAcentral is "partial 16S ribosomal RNA". It matches the Rfam family "Bacterial small subunit ribosomal RNA", at positions 29 to 507 of the family's 1533-position model. The record is from RNAcentral.